AUGCGUGCAGCCGUUGACUGAGGUUGGGGUACGGCCAGCACUGGCGCGCAUGUCGCCUCCCCAUUUCCGGCGUCUCGUGCGUCCGUUUCCAACCGUCAGUCCGAGGAGUACUCGAGCGCCGUGAACGGUCGGGUGGCGGGAUCAGUAUCUUGUUGUCGUUGCUGUCACUCGAGCACCAGUAGCCCGGCUGCAUUAACUUUGGUCCGGGAGGAGGGGAAUGGAUUGAAGGCGCCUGUCCUGCGUGUGGAGAGUGCGGAAGACGGUGGUUUUGAUGUCCGGGCCCGGGGAGGUGCCGGCUCCCGGCGGCGGCGGCGGCGGUGGCGGUGGAGCCCAGCCUGUCAGCGAGGGUGACCAUGUGGUGCUCAAGCGGGAGGAGGUGUUUAAGGCCGUGCAAGUGCACAGAGGAAGAAAAAUCACCUUUGAGAAACAGUGGUUUUACUUGGACAAUGCGAUUGGACAGCAGUAUGGUACCACUUUUGAGGUUUCCAGUGGAGGAGUACUCCAACCACUUAAAGUAAAAACUAAAGAAGUUGCCAAAGAAGUAAAUGAAGCUGGUGUUGAUAAUCGAAACAUCAUUGAUGAUGGCAAGUCCCAAAAGCUCAGCAGAGAUGACAUUGAGGCACUUAAAGAGCAGGGAUUAAAAGGUCAGGAUAUUGUUCAACAUUUGAUAGAGAAUAGCACAACAUUUAGAGACAAAACUGGAUUUGCUCAAGAAAAGUACAUCAAGAAGAAAAAGAAAAAGUACGAAGCAUUUAUAACUAUCCUAAAGCCUACCACUCGCAUAAUGGCCAUGAUGUAUCAUUCCCGUGAGCCAGGUAAAAUUUGCUACUUAAGGUAUGACACACUGGCUCAGAUGUUAACUCUUGGGAACAUCCAUGCAGGCUCCAAAGUAAUUGUAGCAGAAACCUGUGCUGGUCUGGUGCUUGGUGCUGUAAUGGAGAGAUUAGGAGGUUUUGGCUCUGUUAUCCACAUGUAUCCAGGUAGCUUGCCUAUCAGGGCAGCGAUGGAGAAUUUUGGGUUUCCAAAAUCCUUCUAUAACCAUCUAUAUGAUUUCCCUAUCAACAAAUUGAACAGCCUUCUUUCUGGAGUUUUCUUGGCUGAGAAAGAAACGCUGCAAAAACAAACUGAAGUUAUGGUGGAAGAAGGUAAUGGGAGCCUGCUGAACAUAUGCCAGGGUGAUGGAAUGCCUUGUGGUGAGACCGUGAUGGAUAACAACAAAUCUGAAGAAACUGAGGCCAUGGAUGUUGCUUGUGAGGAGGCUGAAAAUAAAGAAAAAAAUUCAGACCGAAAAUCCAAUGUUGAAGAGAGGAAGAGUAAACAAGAAGAUAGACUAAAGAAAUUGCAGGCUGCUGCUGCUGUGCUGCAAGAGAGAAAUGCAGAUGGGCUAAUUAUAGCGAGUCGCCUGUAUCCCAGCCCCUUAUUACUUUGUCUUUUGGAGUUUGUGGCACCAUCUAGACCAUUUGUCAUCUACUGCCAGUACAAAGAGCCUUUGCUUGUGUGCUAUUCAAAUCUACGAGAAAGGGGUGGAGUUGUUAACCUGAGGUUAUCUGAAACAUGGCUGAGAGGCUAUCAGGUUUUGCCAAAUCGGACUCAUCCCAAGCUGACAAUGAGUGGAGGUGGUGGCUACAUUCUGACUGGUAUUACGGUUGCAAUGGACAGAACGAAAUCAGUUGCCAAUAUUUCUGAAGAACCUGCAGCCAAAAGACAAAAAGUUGAGGAAUCCAAAAGUUAGCUUUCCUCCAAAUACUGUUGCUAAGCCUGAAAUUGAUUGAGCUUGGAGCUCAUUGUAAAGCUCAAAUUGCAAAUUUCUACAGACUGCUAUACAUUUAUUUUGGUAUAAUAUGCAGACCAUGACGACUUCCAAAGAACUUGGAUGAAAGCAAUAGAACUCCUCAAAUUCGAGCAAAUAACAAUACUGUACAAACUAGAACUACCAAUACAAUCCACCAGAACCUGUGCAGUUUCUUUCUAACACCCACAGUUAACUUGUAUAUAUGGGUAUGUACUAUGAUAAAACAUUCUACAGUGUACACAACUUGGUAAAUGUAGUCAAAACAGAUUCCUUGAAUUUCUCAGCACCUGUCUCCAAUUGUUAGUGUCGCUGAUCAUCAAAUGUCAUUGACUUUACAAGAGAUUGCAAUUCCUCAUUUUUACUGAUUUGGCAUUAAUUCCAUCUCAAGUGCUAUUUCAUCAUGGAUUAUCUGAACGAAUGUUGUUCUUCGAGCUUAUCACCCUCCUGUUAUAGAUCUGCACUGUGAAAUUCCAAACAUAAUUCCUGCUCUUCACCAGCAGCUGGGUACUCGCAACCAGGUAUGUCCCUGGUUUCGUCCCUAAGCUCUAAUCUGCUCAGUUGUAUGUCGGCAUUUCAACCUUCCUGCGCUCAGCUGCACUGAAGUACUAAUGUUUCCAAGCUCUUCUCAGCUUCUGUGUUGCUGGAAAAGCGCAGCAGGUCAGGCAGCAUCCAAGGAACAGGAGAAUUGACGUU
This is a non-coding RNA of Chiloscyllium plagiosum (whitespotted bambooshark), 2485 nucleotides long. The record is from RefSeq and is a predicted model, not a curated record. Lineage: Eukaryota; Metazoa; Chordata; Chondrichthyes; Orectolobiformes; Hemiscylliidae.